This 488-nucleotide ribosomal RNA is filed under the name uncultured Promicromonosporaceae bacterium. Its description in RNAcentral is "partial 16S ribosomal RNA". Lineage: Bacteria; Bacillati; Actinomycetota; Actinomycetes; Micrococcales; Promicromonosporaceae. The record is from RNAcentral.
CACGUAGUUAGCCGGCGCUUCUUCUGCAGGUACCGUCACCUCACGGCUUCUUCCCUGCCGAAAGCGGUUUACAACCCGAAGGCCGUCAUCCCGCACGCGGCGUCGCUGCAUCAGGCUUUCGCCCAUUGUGCAAUAUUCCCCACUGCUGCCUCCCGUAGGAGUCUGGGCCGUGUCUCAGUCCCAGUGUGGCCGGUCGCCCUCUCAGGCCGGCUACCCGUCAUCGCCUUGGUAGGCCAUCACCCCACCAACAAGCUGAUAGGCCGCGAGCCCAUCCCCCACCGCAAAAGCUUUCCACCACCCCCCAUGCAGGAGACAGUGAAUAUCCGGUAUUAGACCCCGUUUCCAAGGCUUAUCCCGGAGAGGAGGGCAGGUUGCUCACGUGUUACUCACCCGUUCGCCACUCACCACCCCAGCAAGCUGGAGUGACCCGUUCGACUUGCAUGUGUUAAGCACGCCGCAGCGUUCGUCCUGAGCCAGGAUCAAACUCU